GGUUCUGUAGCUCAGCUGGAUAGAGCAUCCGCCUCCUAAGCGGGUGGCCGGCAGUUCGAUUCUGCCCAGGACCACCA
This 77-nucleotide transfer RNA is filed under the name Desulfovibrio sp. RNAcentral describes it as "tRNA-Arg". It matches the Rfam family "tRNA". Rfam says of the family: Transfer RNA (tRNA) molecules are approximately 80 nucleotides in length. Lineage: Bacteria; Pseudomonadati; Thermodesulfobacteriota; Desulfovibrionia; Desulfovibrionales; Desulfovibrionaceae. The record is from RNAcentral.